GACAGAGGCCCCAAGCGUUAGUCGGAAUUACUGGGCUUAAAGGGUGCGUAGGCGGGCGCGUAAGUGUUCUGUGAAAUCCCCGGGCUCAACCCGGGAACCGCAGGGCAUACUGCGCGUCUCGAGGAAGCUAGAGGCCGGUGGAACGAUCGGUGGAGCGGUGGAAUGCGUAGAGAUCGAUCGGAACGCCAAGGGUGAAGACAACCGGCUGGGGCUUUCCUGACGCUGAGGCGAAAGCGCGGGGAUCAAACAGG
RNAcentral lists this ribosomal RNA (251 nucleotides) under uncultured bacterium. RNAcentral's name for it is "partial 16S ribosomal RNA". It matches the Rfam family "Bacterial small subunit ribosomal RNA", at positions 524 to 776 of the family's 1533-position model. The record is from RNAcentral.